UAUUAUUUAAAGCGUUAUUUAAAAUACUUAAGUAGUAAUAGUUAUGUUCUUGAAACUUUAAAAAUUUGGCGGUAUUUUAGUCUAUCCAGAGGAACCUGUUUUAUAAUCGAUAUUCCACGAUGGACCUUACUUAAAUUUGUAAUCAGUUUAUAUACCGUCGUUAUCAGAAUAUUUUAUAAGAAUAUUAAUAUUCAAUAAUUUUUAUUAAAAUUUAUAUCAGAUCAAGGUGUAGCUUAUAUUUGAGUAAUAAUGGGUUACAAUAAAUUUAUUUAAACGGAUAGAAUUAUGAAAAAAUUUUUGAAGGUGGAUUUGGUAGUAAAAUUAUAAAGAUUAAUAAUUUGAUUUUAGCUCUAAAAUAUGUACACAUCGCCCGUCGCUCUUAUUAUUAAGGUAAGAUAAGUCGUAACAUAGUAGAUGUACUGGAAAGUGUAUCUAGAAUGA
RNAcentral lists this ribosomal RNA (441 nucleotides) under Drosophila gibberosa. Its description in RNAcentral is "partial 12S ribosomal RNA". The record is from RNAcentral. Lineage: Eukaryota; Metazoa; Arthropoda; Insecta; Diptera; Drosophilidae.